CUGCAUCUCUGACAGACCUGGAGCUGUUAAUGUCUGCUGCUAAGGUUUCUACUAUAGAUGCAAGAAAAAGACGGUCCUUGUGCUUUCUGUCUCUCUGAUUGUGGCAGCCAAGAUUAAAUGGAGGAAGACAGGA
Molecule: small nucleolar RNA, 133 nt
Filed under: Dasypus novemcinctus (nine-banded armadillo)
Lineage: Eukaryota; Metazoa; Chordata; Mammalia; Cingulata; Dasypodidae
Description: Small nucleolar RNA SNORA31 (ENSDNOG00000037601.1)
Rfam family: Small nucleolar RNA SNORA31
About the family: ACA31 (SNORA31) belongs to the H/ACA class of snoRNAs which are thought to guide the sites of modification of uridines to pseudouridines. ACA31 is predicted to guide the pseudouridylation of U3713 in 28S rRNA and U218 in 18S rRNA.
Source: RNAcentral